RNAcentral lists this long non-coding RNA (237 nucleotides) under Brassica rapa (field mustard). RNAcentral describes it as "long non-coding RNA (BRAP_LNC003906)". The record is from RNAcentral. Lineage: Eukaryota; Viridiplantae; Streptophyta; Magnoliopsida; Brassicales; Brassicaceae.
UUUGGUUCCAUUGGCAAAGUCAUGUCAUUCUAAAUAUUAUAUCAUAUAGCAAGUUAGCAACCCUUUGGGUGAAUGAUAAAUUGAUACAAUAGUUUACUUGUCCCCAUUUCUGUUCACUGAGUUGUCACUCCUUGCAACAAGUAAAACUAAUUAUGUCUGAAGUUUCUUCUUUGAGCUACUUUUAAACUUGUUAGUGACUAUAUAGAUCAUUAGUUAUGUUGGAUACAUAAAAAUGAA